GUAGAAUCAGACUCUGUCUCCCUCCUCCCUCUCCCUCCCACUUCAGUUAGUCUCUUCAGUUGGAGUCAAACUGGGAUUCAGACUGAACUCUUGACAUAGUCUCGGUGCCAUGGCAAGUCUUUUUACCUCUAACUCUCUAAUAAGACUAUAAGUUGCUAAAUUCGUGUAACUCCUGCAUUGGUGAAGAAAGUAUCUGCUGUGGGAAUUCUCUAUACUUGAGGAAAGCACAGAUGUAAUCGAAAAGAAAAAAAAAAGGUGAGAAAACUGAAGUUUGGAAAAGGCUUACUCAAAUUUACCCAGGGCCUCAGUAACAGAAGUGGGACUUGCACCUUUUGAAUUAAAUCAAUGGUAGACCUUAGGAAGGAUCUGCAUUAUCUUGAAAAGGGGCCCCUAGCUUCACAAAAAGGGUCCAGGACAUACAAAAAGGCAAAAGAACUCCUGCUUCAAACAUUCUCUUCACAACCUCUGAGGGGAAAAGGGUCAAGUCUGACCAGCUGCCCACCAACAUGAAGAUUUUAUUUUAGAAUCAGCCUUUCCUUCAGGAGCUGCAAAAGGCAUUACAGAAACAGCACACAAUUGUCUGACAUGUAUACUUAGGACUCUUUUUAAAGAGAGGACUUAGGAGGCAGUAGUUGUUUGUCCACCAUGGAAUUACCAUAUGGAUUCACAGCCAUCUCUCAAUUAUCCAUGGCCACAAAAGGGGAAUAUUGAUGUGGGUAAUCAGAAACUGCAAGUAAUCUGAAUGAACAAGGCUAAUUCACAUGGAAACUGGCCUCAAGGGAGCUUCAUGCCCAGCUGUAUGUGGUAGAGUGCCUGGAUGCUCAGCUGGGUGAUUGAUCAGUUUUCUGAAAGAGUUGCAUGACCAACUUUCAGCUGUCAAAUUCCAAAAUGAAAUUUAAGUACUCAAGAAACAGAUGUCAGUUCCAAGGUAGAAAAGCCUGGGACAGGACAGAGAGCUGAACAAAUGAUUUCCGAUGCCCAGGCACCGUUUAUUAUCAUGCAGUGUUGUAUGGCGUAAACCAACAGAGGAUAUUUUCCCCUGGAAAUUAAGAACAAGAUUUCCAUUUUUGAAAAACGGUGUGGCAUCAAUCUAUGUUUUCUUUCACAACCUGACGAAUAUUGGAAUGAAAUUGGAAAAAAAUAUUGGCAAGUUUUGCAUCACUACAUAUGUAUCACCUAUAUCAAAUUGUUUUCCUUCUCAAUAAAGCAUGAGGGGAAGGAGUUAGAAAGAGAAAUUUGAACUAAAAAUUAUAAUAUAUCUUGUGUGUAUUUUGAAAAAAUUAAAAUAUGUAAAGGAACAAAAACAAAAAGGAAUCAGAGAACUCAAGUUUGAUUCCUACUUGCUUAAUAAGAAAGAAAGAAUAAAGCAAUCAUUAAGCAUAUACUAUGUGCUCAGCCCUGGGCUAAGCAUUUUUACAAAUAUCUUAUUUGGCUGUUACAAUAACUCUGGUAUGUGGGUCUUAUUAAUAUCUCCCUUUUACAGUUGAAGAAACUGAGGUAGAGGUUAAGUGACUUGCCUAGGGUAUCACAACUAUUAAAUGUAUGAGGCUAGAUUUGAACUCAGACACUUCCUAACUCCAAUUUCAGCACUUUAUUAUUAUGCUGGGUCACCUGUCUAUGUGUGCUAUAUACUAGUGGGAAACUUUGGACAAAAUAGUACUUGUCUCAACUUAGUUCCUUAUAUAUAAAAUGGGGGUAUUGAAUAAAAUGAUCUCUUAGAUUCCUUCUGGCUUUAAAUAUAUGGUUCUAUAUUCUUAAAAAUUGACAUUGCCUGUGCUAUAAGAAAUAAUGAACAGACUAGUUAAAAGAAAAUCUUGGAAAGAAAUACAUAUGAUUAUGAAGUGAAAUAAGUAGAUCCAAGAGAACAUUAUACAUUGAUAUAUAUUUGAGGAAUAACUUGUAAAAAUUCACCUCUGGCUAAUGAAUUGAGAAGUGAAAUAUGAACGACAUAAUAUACAUAUUUUGCUGGAUGAUGCCUUCUAUCAUGUGGGGAGGGAGGGAGAGCCUGAAUGAAAAAAACUAAAAAAUAAAAUAAAAUAAAAUAAAUUUAAAAAGUUAAAAAACAAUGUUAUGAAAAACUUAAAAAGAAUUGGCAUUCCUUAUAUCUUCCAUAGUAGAGUCAAUAUGAAUGAGAGCUUGAUUUCCUUCUCUCACAUACAUGCAUACACACACACAAACAGACAUCUAUACUUACAUUUCAUAUCCUGGUCUGCCCUAUAACCUUAUUAGCCAUGAAUUUCCUUGACCACAGGAAUCUUUUUUUUUCCCCAUUCAGCCCUCAUUUUUUUUAGCUUCUCCAGUCCCUUGGACCUGAGGGUCCAAGAAGCCUACAGAUUUUCCAUGUACAACUUUCCUCAUGUUCAUCUUAACUCUUUCUUCAUGAGAGAACAGUGAUUUGGCUAUACCAGAGAGUUGGACUUUUUUGGCAAAGUCAACUCUAGAUGAAUACAGGGAGCAAAAGAUAUCUGCAUGAUCCAACUCUUACGAAACCCUUUCCUGUCCCUCUUGGUGAGUGGCCGAAAGAAGAGCAUCCCAGCAAACCUUCUU
Molecule: non-coding RNA, 2547 nt
Organism: Monodelphis domestica (gray short-tailed opossum)
Lineage: Eukaryota; Metazoa; Chordata; Mammalia; Didelphimorphia; Didelphidae
Source: RefSeq, a predicted model, not a curated record